CGGUAUUACUGGGAUUCACUAAAGUGAAAGAUCUCCCGUACGUGGGAAUACCAAGAAUAAUCUUGUCAGUGGAUGCACCUUGCGAGAGCCAGUAAUGGACAGCCGCAUCCUGGAAUGGUAUUGCAUCUCGUAUCAAGACUAAUCAAGGGAGGUAUAAGGUAUUCCUACCACGUUCAGCUUGGCUUGAUCCCCAGUGUCUCUUGCAGAAGGAUACAACGGUGCAUUCAUUCCCGUGAAUCUAUUCCAUGAUCCGUUGAAGUCGUACGCCAUCAAGUUAAUAAAGUGAACGUAUUUCGAUAUUUGUGAAAUAUGAUACGAUUUAGAAGCCGACCCCUCGGCAGCGGCAACUGCGAUACUCAGAAUGAAGCCAUGUUUAUCAAACUCUUCUCUCAGUUCUUUCAACAAAGCAACGUAAUUUUCCUUGUCAGACGGUUUACCGCCGCGUUGGUUUGGAUAUUCCCAAUCGACGUCGAAACCAUCAAAGUUAUAUUUCUUCAGAAAGGCGACUACGUUCUUGACAAAUGUAGCACGCGUAGCAGGGUUACCAGCGACCUGAGAGUACUUGACGGAUCCUUCGUUCCAGCCACCUAUCGCAACCAUAGCCUUGGUGCCUGGACUUGACUCACGGAGUCUGGUAAAUUUCCCAAAACCAUCCUUGCCAUUAGGUAAAUCCAUCCAACUGUCUAACACAUUGACAUUACCAUCGGUAAUGAUACCGACAAAGGUGUAGACCAUGUGGGUGCAUAGCAUUGGAUCGAUAUCAUUCACCUCGAAUUUUCCCCUGCCAGGACGGUACGCGGCCCAGCUACCGAAAUAGCAGACAAUCUUUUCUAUUAGAAGAAGAAAUAUAUGUUAUCAUAAAUCUAUCUAUCCUUAUAAUCGACGAAUAAUCGAAUAUCAUAUAAAAAUCAAGAGUUACGAGAUUGACCUUCAUUAUAGAUAACGAUACAACUUUCAGAUUAAGGACAGGAGAUUACAUUUAGUUCAUUAUAUAGUUUUAUCAGUAAUAAUCUGAUACUUACUGUCGGCAAUGACGCAUGGGCCGGCAAACACCAGAAAAGCAACCAAAAACGCUGACUUAAUCAUCUGAAAACAGAUCACUUUUUAACCCAAGCAAAUUUUGUCAUCAGUAUUGAAGCAAACUGAAGAUUUAUUUAAAUUUGUUCUUUUUUAUAAUUAUGAAGCUUCUCACCGUACCUUCAACGACAUCCGUUUUAUAUAAUAUGCGAAAGUGAUCAUUCAGUUGAAUUUAUAUUCAACAUGAGAUUUACAAAACAUCCUGUUUUAAGUUAAUCUAAUCAGAAAUAUACAGGAGGGGCUUUGCUUGGUGCAUGCCAGAAUCUUGAAAAACCGUACCGUAGUUUAUGAGUCAUGAAUCGUAAAUGUACAACAUAAAACUAAAUCAAGAUAAUAGAGUACUUAACAUAAAAGUUUGUUAAACGCAAAAUAGCAAAAACUAUUUAUAGUAUAUUCUAUGGAAAACAAACAGUGUUAUCAUUUAAAUAAUCUAAAUUUCUAUUAAUAAUAAACUAUCGUUGAAUAUUAUUGAAGAUAAUGAAGUCAAUCGUGAAUUUGAUCUCAUUACCUGUGUC
Molecule: non-coding RNA, 1592 nt
Organism: Osmia lignaria (orchard mason bee)
Lineage: Eukaryota; Metazoa; Arthropoda; Insecta; Hymenoptera; Megachilidae
Source: RefSeq, a predicted model, not a curated record